UUUAAGUGCAGUUAUGGGUUUUCGUGUCCAAUGCUUGACCGUGCAUCUUAUUUGAAAUUUUUUUCUAAUCACUAUUUUCAUUCUUAUUAGAUGAUAAAAUAUGAAUAGUACUUUAUGCCCGACUUAUUUUUUUAUUUUUUUUAAAUAAGACGGAUUAUGAAGCGUUGGACACGGAAACCCGUAAUCGUAUUUAAA
Oryza glumipatula is the source of this 195-nucleotide non-coding RNA. NCBI's taxonomy places the organism in Eukaryota, Viridiplantae, Streptophyta, Magnoliopsida, Poales, Poaceae. The record is from Rfam.